CGAGAAAAUCGGCUUGUUGAUUCUUGCUUAGGUAAGGGUAGGAAAGUCCGGACACCAUAGAGCAUCAAAGCGGAUAACAUCCGUCACCCGCGAGGGUAGGACAAGUGCAACAGAAAGUAUGUACAGUUCGGCUGUAGUGAAACCAGGUAAACUCUUUGUGGUGCAAUGAUAAGUAUAUCGGUUCUUUUCAGUAAUGAAAAUAGGGGUUGCUCGCUCUGAAAGCCGAGGGGUAAUCAGCUCAAGUUUUGCAGUAAUGCACGACGUAGAUAAAUAACAGGCGCUUCUUUUUGAAGAACAAAAUCCGGCUUAUAGAUUUUCUCGUGAU
This 325-nucleotide RNase P RNA is filed under the name Chryseobacterium tagetis. Its description in RNAcentral is "RNase P RNA component class A". It matches the Rfam family "Bacterial RNase P class A". From Rfam's summary of the family: Ribonuclease P (RNase P) is a ubiquitous endoribonuclease, found in archaea, bacteria and eukarya as well as chloroplasts and mitochondria. Its best characterised activity is the generation of mature 5'-ends of tRNAs by cleaving the 5'-leader elements of precursor-tRNAs. Lineage: Bacteria; Pseudomonadati; Bacteroidota; Flavobacteriia; Flavobacteriales; Weeksellaceae. The record is from RNAcentral.